GAGAGAUCAGGUGGCAGCAGACAAAAGAAGGAAAAGCAGCAGUGGGCAAAGCCUCCAGGUACUGAUCAAGCCCAACAUGACAUUUUGAUGCCUCAGGUGAAGGACAAGAUGGCAUUCCCUCAAAUCCAGGCGUUUAAACUAUUUUUUCAA
Python bivittatus (Burmese python) is the source of this 150-nucleotide non-coding RNA. The record is from RefSeq and is a predicted model, not a curated record. Lineage: Eukaryota; Metazoa; Chordata; Lepidosauria; Squamata; Pythonidae.